UCUGAUCUAAACAGUGAAAAUACCAUUAUGAGAAUGAGGCUUGGAAAGCGGUCACAUGACUGAAAGAUGUCAUAGCUAACCAUCACGCAUGCGCCUGCGGUUCGCCUGAAAACGAGGCUUGGAGAGCACACGCAGGAUGCAGAAGGAAGCGGGAAGGUGCCGCUGUUUAAAUGGCAGCACAGAUACACAUGUCUAUACUGUCUCUGAGGAAGCCGCCGAUGUAAGCAUUGCUGCUGAAGGCCGUGAGACGCAUAAGAUGACAUCCUAAGCCCAGUACUGGCCGAGCCUGCACGGCAUACUACAUUGUCAUCAGCAGCUUUAAAGUGGGACACUCCAGAUAUGGCACCGAAAAAGUUAAAAGCACCAGGAGCCGGGAGAAACUUGUGGAGUCUAUGGCGAGCACAAUGGCAAGCUGCUGCUGCUUGGAGCCCCGACCAAUCCCCUUCUCAGCCCCCCUCCACUUCUGUGGCCCAAUCCCCCUCUCCUUCCCAGUCCGCUUCUCAGCCCCCCUCCCCUUCUGUGGCCCAAUCCCCCUCUCCUUCCCAGUCCCCUUCUCAGACCCCCUCCCCUUCUGUGGCCCAAUCCCCCUCUCCUUCCCAGUCCCCUUCUCAGCCCCCCUCCCGUUCUGUGGCCCAAUCCCCCUCUCCUUCCCAGUCCCCUUCUCAGCCCCCCUCCCCUUCUGGGGCCCAAUCCCCUCUCCUUCCCAGUCCCCUUCUCAGCCCCCCUCCCCUUCUGUGGCCCAAUCCGCCUCUCCUUCCCAGUCCCCUUCUCAGCCCCCCUCCCCUCUCUUUACCAAUACCCAUCUCUGUCCCCCUCCCCCUCUGAAGGCCAAACAACAACUCCGGCCACCUCCCCUCUCUUUCCCAGUCCCCCUCUUUGGCCCCUCCCCCCCUGUUGCACAAACACCCUCUCCGCCCCCCUCCCCCUCUCAAUCACACCCACCCUCUGAAAACAGCUCCCCAAUCCCUCCUCCUUCCCCAAUCCCUCCUCCUUCCCCAAUCCAGCCUCCUUCCCCAAUCCAGCCUCCUACCCACAUCCAGCCUCCUUCCCCCAUCCAGCCGCCUUCCCCACCCACUGAAUGGGCAGCAGAAGCCCCAGGUGAGAUUCCGGGGAGUCCGCAUGUGACAGAUGAGAAUGUUGCAGUUGGGGAUCCCACAAGUUUGCCAGGAAUUGUGGCCAGGAUUAAAAACAAUUUGAGGGCCGUGCUGGCCGAUUUUGAAUUGUUAGAAUAAUUUUUCUAAAAAUUUAUUUUACAUUUUAUUCCAAAAAAGUUAAUUUUCGUUAAAAAAAAACCAAUGUUGUUCAAGUUAA
Pseudophryne corroboree (corroboree frog) is the source of this 1311-nucleotide long non-coding RNA. RefSeq lists it as uncharacterized. Lineage: Eukaryota; Metazoa; Chordata; Amphibia; Anura; Myobatrachidae. The record is from RefSeq and is a predicted model, not a curated record. The transcript has 3 exons.